UGGGGAAUAUUGCGCAAUGGGCGAAAGCCUGACGCAGCGACGCCGCGUGGGGGAUGAAGGCCUUCGGGUUGUAAACCUCUUUCACCACCGACGAAGCUAACGUGACGGUAGGUGGGGAAGAAGCGCCGGCUAACUACGUGCCAGCAGCCGCGGUAAUACGUAGGGCGCAAGCGUUGUCCGGAAUUAUUGGGCGUAAAGAGCUCGUAGGCGGUCUGUCGCGUCUGCCGUGAAAACCCGAGGCUUA
This 244-nucleotide ribosomal RNA is filed under the name uncultured Actinoallomurus sp. Its description in RNAcentral is "partial 16S ribosomal RNA". It matches the Rfam family "Bacterial small subunit ribosomal RNA", at positions 355 to 611 of the family's 1533-position model. Lineage: Bacteria; Bacillati; Actinomycetota; Actinomycetes; Streptosporangiales; Thermomonosporaceae. The record is from RNAcentral.